Long non-coding RNA from Hibiscus syriacus, 231 nucleotides. RefSeq lists it as uncharacterized. The record is from RefSeq and is a predicted model, not a curated record. The transcript is spliced from 3 exons. NCBI's taxonomy places the organism in Eukaryota, Viridiplantae, Streptophyta, Magnoliopsida, Malvales, Malvaceae.
AGUUUAUAGCGUAGAGCCAAAAACCGAAGCGCCAAGGCCAAAACCAAAACCCUGCUUCCGUUCUCUGUUCUCGGCGGGAUCCGUAUUUGCAUUGCUCUCGAACAUUGCGCAUCAGAUCAGGCUUUUUUACGUGCACUGAAACUUCGAGCUACUUUGUUCAUAUUUAUUUUCAAUGGCGAUUGAGAAAAUUCUUAAAGAUGAUGCUAUUGAAGAGAAGGGGGAAUGUGCCAG